This 274-nucleotide ribosomal RNA is filed under the name uncultured bacterium. Its description in RNAcentral is "partial 16S ribosomal RNA". It matches the Rfam family "Bacterial small subunit ribosomal RNA", at positions 523 to 796 of the family's 1533-position model. The record is from RNAcentral.
AUACGGAGGGUGCGAGCGUUAAUCGGAAUUACUGGGCGUAAAGCGCGCGUAGGCGGUUUGGUCAGUCGGAUGUGAAAGCCCCAGGCUCAACCUGGGAAUGGCAUUCGAUACUGCCUGACUAGAGUAUGGUAGAGGGAAGUGGAAUUUCCGGUGUAGCGGUGAAAUGCGUAGAUAUCGGAAGGAACACCAGUGGCGAAGGCGACUUCCUGGGCCAAUACUGACGCUGAGGUACGAAAGCGUGGGUAGCGAACAGGAUUAGAUACCCCAGUAGUCC